CGGUCUCAUCCAUCCAUUCAGGGAUAGAGACGAUUCUUAAUAACGCCAUACAAUAGGCUACUAUAUAUCAGGACCCUCUGCAGUCAGUUGUAUGCCUCCUAAUGAUUUGAGCCGUGAUGAAGUUCAGUGAGACACUCCUCCUUCUCAACCUGUCUCUACUAAGCUGUGGCUCUCGCAGGGAUCCAGAAUGUUCCAGCGUGAGCUUGUGGGGGAAGAUGGCUGACUUCACAGGGGAGUGCAGUUACUGGCAGCUGAGUCCGGACCUCUCCAUCCCUGCCCUGGAGGAGCUCAGCGUGUGUGUCCACCUCCAGCGGCACAUCAACACACCAGCCUGGACAGCCUUCAUGUACCGCCACCCUGACGGGCUGCAGGCUGAGCUGGGCCUGGCGGGUCAGGAGGGCCUGGUCCACACCUGGCUGUUUGGGAUGAGGUGGUCAGCCCCCCUCCACCUCCCCCUGGGCCACUGGCACUACGUCUGUAUAACCUGGUCUGGGGCUUCUCACCAGCCAGCCCUCUAUGUCAAUGGGACCAGUGUGGAUGUUACAGCCCAUGCUAACGAAUCCCCCCUGUCCCCGUCCUGCUGCAGGCUGGCCCCGCACGGCACGCUCACCCUGGGUGUCUCCCACUACUUCAUCCAAGGGGAGAUGCAUGUGGAAAACGGUACCAACCUCAAUGGGAGUGUUUCUCUGUUCCGCGUGUGGGGGCAGGCACGCACCCCUGAACAGGUGUCGGACCUGAGCUGCACAGAGGGGGAUGAGGUGCGCUGGGAUGCUGUUGACUGGCUUACCCUGAGCUGCCCUCCAGUCCCAGACUCCCAUCUACAGUGUGCCUGGUCUUUGUACGAACUUAAAGUCAAGAUCGCCAUCAUCUGCUACGAUGGAAACAGUACUGACGUAUACAAAGCCAGAGACCUUGCACAGAAAUGG
Long non-coding RNA from Oncorhynchus tshawytscha (Chinook salmon), 926 nucleotides. The record is from Ensembl. Lineage: Eukaryota; Metazoa; Chordata; Actinopteri; Salmoniformes; Salmonidae.